GGCUCCUACGGGACGCAGCAGUGGGGAAUAUUGGGCAAUGGGCGCAAGCCUGACCCAGCGACGCCGCGUGAGGGGAGACGGUCUUCGGAUUGUAAACCUCUUUCAGCAGGGAAGACAAAAGGACGGUACCUGCAGAAGAAGCCACGGCUAACUACGUGCCAGCAGCCGCGGUAAUACGUAGGUGGCAAGCGUUAUCCGGAAUUACUGGUUGUACUGGGUGUGUAGGCGGUGCUUC
RNAcentral lists this ribosomal RNA (235 nucleotides) under uncultured bacterium. RNAcentral describes it as "partial 16S ribosomal RNA". It matches the Rfam family "Bacterial small subunit ribosomal RNA", at positions 334 to 584 of the family's 1533-position model. The record is from RNAcentral.